ACAGAGCCCGUGAAUCCGGGCGUGUGGAAUUCAGGACCGACGGGCGGACCUUCGGGUUCGUUCGUCGAUUCGAUAUUUCCGCCGUCGACCCUCAACCGAGGGUGUCGGACGUCGCGACCCGUUCGCCGAAGCCGAUGCUGAGGGGUGCGUUUCAAGUUCGCCUGCGCGGCCGUUUCGGCGGUCGUGCGACGAUGACGCGCUUCCGCUGCCCAUCGGUGCGGACGGUAGCUUUGCGCGCGGGUAUUCGAUGCAGCCCUUGCCCGUCGUCUCGUACGUCGGGCGGUGCUCGCAUCGACGCCGGUCAGCGACGAAUCUUCGGGCCUCUUUCCGACCCGUCUUGAAACACGGACCAAGGAGUCUAGCGUGCGCGCGAGUCGCGGGGUAUCCGAGUCGUUGUAGUCGUUUCGGCGGCGAACGCGACUCGUCACGAUACGAAACCCGUGUACGUACGUUGUGCGAAGGCGUAAUGAAAGUGAAAGGUGGCGCUUCGCGCGUCACCGGGGGAAGACGGUGUUCCGAGUUCACGUUUCGCAAACAUAUGUGUUUUGCGGCCGGACACCCGCAUUCCCAGGGCGUCCCUCUCGUACGUCGGUGGUCGGAGUUCGCGCUUCGAUCGUCGACGAACUGGGGCGCACCUACAGCGUGCACGCUGGUACCCGAAAGAUGGUGAACUAUGCCCGGCCAGGAU
Molecule: ribosomal RNA, 688 nt
Filed under: Saissetia coffeae
Lineage: Eukaryota; Metazoa; Arthropoda; Insecta; Hemiptera; Coccidae
Description: partial 28S ribosomal RNA
Rfam family: Eukaryotic large subunit ribosomal RNA
Source: RNAcentral